RNAcentral lists this unclassified non-coding RNA (227 nucleotides) under Hevea brasiliensis (rubber tree). The record is from RNAcentral. Lineage: Eukaryota; Viridiplantae; Streptophyta; Magnoliopsida; Malpighiales; Euphorbiaceae.
GCUUCCAAUGGGUGUCUAUAGCUUCCUUAGGGUGUGGGGAGUAUUUUUUAUGAAGUGGGCUAUGGGUUUUUGUGUGUAGAAGCUUGGGAAAUCAAGCUUGGAAGCUCGUCGGACUUCGCCUGCUCCUUCCCCCUUUUUUUUAACUAUUUUAUUUAUUCGUUUAUUCGCUCUCACUUCACACCCUUUGCUCUUGCGCAUUUCUCCCUAGCUCCUUUUAUAAGUUUUUG